UGAUCUUCCCACUUUACAUUGAACCGGUUUAAUAUUUUCCUAAAUUUAAGGAACGUGAUCCCCACCUGUCAUUGUUUCUUCUCUUUUUCCUAUGAUGAAUCUAUUGAUCUUUCCGAUUUUACAUUGAACUGUGGGUCUCCUUUAAUGUUGAUUAGGGCCUGCUUUCUUCCACUUAUUAGUUUUUACCUACUCAUUUAUUUUCAGUUCACUCAUUGGAAGAUAAACCGGCCACUAAUUUCUUUCCACUGAAUAGGUCUAUCUUCUCAUUGAUCAAACAGGUUCGCGCAUCCCUAGACCUCUGUUCGCCGCCCUAGAGUUGUUGCUCCGACUGGGUUCGAUCCUCCUUCCGUCCUUGUCGUUUCAAAUUGCGACGCAUCAUUCCCGUUUUCCUCUCUUGCCAAAUGUACUCUAUUCCAAAUGUUUCACUUGGAUCAUGGUUGACUGGAUUAGAUGCCGUGCAUAUUGAAGAUUGAAGAUUAUGCUGCCGCACACACUUGGAUAGAAUUCUUUAUUUCCUCUUCUUUAUCUUAUAUAUCAACUUCCAAUAAUAUUAUUCUAGAUAUUCCAGAAAAUAUCGAUAGUUUUAUUUAUCUAUUUAUGCUAAUCAUCAUUGAACUCACAAUUCUCUGAGCAUUCCUAAAAUCUGAUUAUUUACUUAUCUAUUCAUUUUUUCGAAGCCGUGUCAGAAUCAGUUCAAUGGAAACCGGCUACUGGUAUGUUUUUUUUUUUCAUACUUAUUUUGGUAUUUUUUUUAAAUUAGUUCACUUAUAUCUAUUGCUUGGCUGUUUUAAUUCCUAAAUCCUAAAGUUAGUUAUAAUAAUAUUUACCCACCGUAUCACGCAGGUUACUACACUAGUUUUACUAAAUCAUGGAUAGCAUGAUCUUUAAAUAAACACAAAUAAAAUUUCUUAGUUGGAAUCAUAUCAAAGUUUCGGAUGCAGUGUUUGGAUUGGGGAUAAGGGGAGGGAUAACCCCUUAUCCCCCUUUUAUACCCAGAAGCAAAUUUUUUUUCUAGAAUAGUAGUUCUCUAGUACACGAAAUAAGCUGGUAUAACUAUCCCACCAAUAUCUCUAUUUUCUAUAUAUAACUACCCACUAUUUUUCUUAUUCCAUAUUAUCUAUCCAAAUGUUAUUUUUUUCUUAUCUCCGGGAACAACCCAAUUUUCAUCCAAACGUUAUUUUGCUUAUCCCCAUACUUGUACCUAUUCAUAUAAUAGUUAGUUCUUAUUUAUACCCGAACCAAACAGUACCUCGAGCUAGUGUUUGGAUUGGGUACAAGAGGGGGAUAAGGGGGUUAUCCCCUCUCUUGUACCCAAACACAUUUUUGGGUGGGUGGGAACAAGUGUUCCCACCUACCCAGUUUGUACCGAGUAUAGGUGGGAACAAGUGUUCCUACCUAGGGGCGGAACAACCCUCCCGGUACGAGAGAGAGAGAGAGAGAGAGAGAUAUAAAUUUUUAUUUUAAAUUUAAAUUUUAAAAAUUCAUAAUUUAUAAUUUUAAAAUUUAAAUUUAUAAUUUUAAAUUAUAAAAUUUAAAGUUUAAAAUUUAAAUUUGAUAUUUUUAAAUUUUAAUUUUUAAAUAUGAUAUUUUUAGUUUUUAAAUUUUAAAUUUGAUAUUUUAUAUCUUUCAAAUUUAAAUAUUGUUUUAAAUUUAUAAUUUGAUAUUUAAAAUUAAAAUUUUAAAAAUUAAAAUUUAAAAUUUUAAUUUAAAAUUUUAAAAUUUAAAAGUUAAAAUUUUCAAUCUAAAAUUAUAAGAUUAAAAAUUUAAAUUUAAGUUAGAGGAAUUUAAAAGUUUCUUAAAUAUAUUAAAUAUGUUGAAUGAAAACAUUUACCAACAUUACAAAUUUUUUAAAAAGUAGUACAAAAUUCCUCUAACUUAAAUUUAAAUUUUAAAAAUUCAUAAUUUAUAAUUUUAAAAUUUAAAUUUAUAAUUUUAAAUUAUAAAAUUUAAAGUUUAAAAUUUAAAUUUUAUAUUUUUAAAUUUUAAAUUUUAAAUAUGAUAUUUUUAGUUUUUAAAUUUUAAAUUUGAUAUUUUAUAUCUUUCAAAUUUAAAUAUUGUUUUAAAUUUAUAAUUUGAUAUUUAAAAUUAAAAUUUUAAAAAUUAAAAUUUAAAAUUUUAAUUUAAAAUUUUAAAAUUUAAAAGUUAAAAUUUUCAAUCUAAAAUUUAAAAUUUAAAAAUAUAAUUUCAAUUAUAGGGGUAAUAUUAUUAUUUUCUAUUUAUAACUACUAACUAUUCCUCUUAUUCCCAAAAACUAUCCAAACGCAAUUUUUCUAGUUCCAGCUUAUACUCACAAUUUCACCCAAACAAAAAAAUACUCUUGUUCCUACAAAAAUCCAUACUUGUACCUAUCCCCGGUAUAACUAGUUCCUACUAAUUCCCGAACCAAACGGAGCCUUGGGUACCGUUUGGUUCGGGUAUAAGCAAGAACUAGCUAUUACAGGGAUAGAUACAAGUACGAGGAUAAGAAAAAUAGUGUUUGGAUGAAAAUUGGGUUGUUCCCGGAGAUAAGAACAAUUUUAGAUAGUUUUAUAUAAAAAAUGAAGGUGUUGGUGGGAAUAACCGAGAACUACUAUUCUCGAAUAAAAAAUUAGUAUUUGGGUAUAAAAGGGGAUAAGGACCUGUUCCUAUUCCUCUUCCCUACCUAAAU
This 2647-nucleotide long non-coding RNA is filed under the name Ananas comosus (pineapple). Its description in RNAcentral is "long non-coding RNA (ACOM_LNC028979)". Lineage: Eukaryota; Viridiplantae; Streptophyta; Magnoliopsida; Poales; Bromeliaceae. The record is from RNAcentral.